GUAGCUUGGUACACCAUAGACUGUGAGUUGCGAACGGGUGAGUAACGCGUAGGUAACCUGCCUAUUAGAGGGGGAUAACUAUUGGAAACGAUAGCUAAUACCGCAUAACAGUAUGUAACACAUGUUAGAUGCUUGAAAGAUGCAAUUGCAUCGCUAGUAGAUGGACCUGCGUUGUAUUAGCUAGUAGGUAGGGUAAAGGCCUACCUAGGCAACGAUACAUAGCCGACCUGAGAGGGUGAUCGGCCACACUGGGACUGAGACACGGCCCAAACUCCUACGGGAGGCAGCAGUGAGGAAUAUUGGUCAAUGGAGGAAACUCUGAACCAGCCAAGUCGCGUGAAGGAAGAAUGUCCUAAGGAUUGUAAACUUCUUUAGCGAGCGAGUAAGGACUUCCACGCGUUGGGAGUUUGAAAGUAGCUCGAGAAUAAGUAUCGGCUAACUCCGUGCCAGCAGCCGCGGUAAUACGGAGGAUACGAGCGUUAUCCGGAUUUAUUGGGUUUAAAGGGUGCGCAGGUGGUCUUGCAAGUCAGUGGUGAAAAGCUGAGGCUCAACCUCAGCCUUGCCGUUGAAACUGUAAGACUUGAGAGUACAUGAUGUGGGCGGAAUGCGUAGUGUAGCGGUGAAAUGCGUAGAUAUAUGGAGGAACACCGGUGGCGAAAGCGGCUCUCUGGUCUGUAACUGACGCUGAGGCUCGAAAGCGUGGGGAGCGAACAGGAUUAGAUACCCUGGUAGUCCACGCCGUAAACGAUGAGUGCUAGGUGUUAGGUCCUUUCCGGGACUUAGUGCCGCAGC
This 792-nucleotide ribosomal RNA is filed under the name uncultured Streptococcaceae bacterium. Its description in RNAcentral is "bacterial SSU rRNA". It matches the Rfam family "Bacterial small subunit ribosomal RNA", at positions 69 to 852 of the family's 1533-position model. Lineage: Bacteria; Bacillati; Bacillota; Bacilli; Lactobacillales; Streptococcaceae. The record is from RNAcentral.